CUCUAAGAAGAGAUUUGGAAUUCUGAACAUGUAUUUCCUAUGUAUAUGCUGGACAUUUAAGUUGUAAGUUGGAUCUACAAUGGCAUCCGUUUGCUUCUCAGCAGUAAUUCAGGUGAGAGCCUAUGAAGGAUGUAUCUCUUAAACUCAGUUCAGCCGCAAACCAACAUACUUUUCAUAAGAUAAUUUUACAUGAGCUGAACCUGUUUUCAUUGCCUUUUUGAUCUACUGAUCUUUGAUCUUUGCCCAGCACAGUUUUCAUGUUGAGUUACUGAAGUCUGGGUUUAGUAUUCAAGAACACAAAAUGAAAGCCUCUCAGUUUUGGAACCCCUUUUCUGUUCUGUCUGCUUCCUCAGUAAAAUCAUUAUUCAGUCCCCACAUUCUAUGUUCCUCAAAAACCCACUUCAGAAUCAGUGAAAGAAUGUUUUAAAAGCUGUUUUCUUCCAUGUUCCAAUAUCUUGCAUUAUUACUUCAGGGAAAAUUCUUGGGCUGGAACACCAAAAACUAUAGGGAAAAACAUCUUUGUUUUAGGAUUUUCAUUUCUUGUGUCAAGGCCUUGGCCAUCAAGUGAAGGUGAAAGAAGUGUCUAAUUAAAGCAGCUGAGAAAGGGAAUGAGGAAUCAUAACAGCAUAGCCCCACGAAAUGAUGAUGAAGCCACUCUAGAGUCUGAAGCAACUCUUUAAAGACAAAUGAACUCCCAAAAGUAAAAGAUGCAAUUUGAAGUCAACAAAACAAACAAAUAAAAUUAUUCAUGAUGUAAUGAAUAUUCAUGAGAAACCCCAGUCCAGGCAUGGAAAACCUUCUGGAGAGGAGAGUCCAGGAGAUCUACUGUUAUUGCUCUGGAUAGCUUCCAAAAAAUGAUGCAAUACCCUUUUGCUGAAGACACCACACAUUUAUGGACACAGGAUCUGGAAGAAUUGAUCUGGACCUGACUUGGAAGCUUCCUCACUGACAACUAGCUCUCAUCGUCUUGGAUGGUAACAUGAAAUAUGCUAAUGGAGUAAAACAAGCAAUAGUCCUAUGCUGUUGUAAUGCCACAACAAUGGAUGUAAGGCAAACUAUUCUGACAGGUGCAGUAGUGACAUUUAUACCCUUGGUAGAGCAACAGACACCUAAUUGGGCUUAAGACAAGGAGGGAUUCAUUAAUGGCACUAUCAAUUUUGUUAACUACCUGUG
This is a long non-coding RNA of Mesocricetus auratus (golden hamster), 1173 nucleotides long. RefSeq lists it as uncharacterized. The record is from RefSeq and is a predicted model, not a curated record. The transcript has 4 exons. NCBI's taxonomy places the organism in Eukaryota, Metazoa, Chordata, Mammalia, Rodentia, Cricetidae.